RNAcentral lists this ribosomal RNA (253 nucleotides) under uncultured bacterium. Its description in RNAcentral is "partial 16S ribosomal RNA". It matches the Rfam family "Bacterial small subunit ribosomal RNA", at positions 524 to 776 of the family's 1533-position model. The record is from RNAcentral.
GACGAGCUCUCCAAACGUUAUUCGGUAUCACUGGGCUUAAAGAGUUCGUAGGCGGUCUGGUAGGUGAGGUGUGAAAUCCCCCGGCUCAACCGGGGAACUGCGCUUCAAACCGCCAGACUUGAGGGAGACAGAGGUGGGCGGAACAGAUGGUGGAGCGGUGAAAUGCGUUGAUAUCAUCUGGAACACCGGUGGCGAAAGCGGCCCACUGGGUCUCAUCUGACGCUGAGGAACGAAAGCUAGGGUAGCGAACGGG